GAAUGCCAUCCGCCGUAAAACCCCAAGAAGAAGAAGAAGAAGAAGAAGAAAAAGAAAAAGAGCGAAUCAUCGCAGUUGCUCAGUGUUUGGAUGUACAAAACCUCGAAAAACAGGCCAGCUCAUCAAGUGCUUACAUUCAGCAGCUUCUCUCAGGGAUGUUGCCUGCCAGACGGAGCACCUGGAAACGCAUACUAAGACUGCGAUGCCUUUGUAGACCGUAGCACUCAGUGUGGCACCACCUCAAAGAUUCUGGCGGUGGUCGCCCCUGGCUCCUCCCACUGGUCCCGUCACAGCGAGGAACUGGUGCAGACCCCAGACACCAUUUCAAUCAAGGUUGAAGAGGAUAUUGGUGGAGGCAUGCCCGCC
This is a long non-coding RNA of Gadus morhua (Atlantic cod), 366 nucleotides long. RefSeq lists it as uncharacterized. NCBI's taxonomy places the organism in Eukaryota, Metazoa, Chordata, Actinopteri, Gadiformes, Gadidae. The record is from RefSeq and is a predicted model, not a curated record. The transcript has 4 exons.